CCCUGGGCCACUCAUGCCCUCUGGAUUCUGUUUUCAUUCCAGGCUGUGGAUCCGGUCGUGGGAAGCAGGUGCAAGAGCCUGCGGGGAUGAACCCCACUGAAUCUGAGCAGCCCGUCCUGUGUUCCUGGCCACCAGGACAUGUGCACCCCAGGCUUUGAUGAGACCCCCCCAGACUCGGAUCCUACAUUGCCUGUCCCCACGGGACCAGGGGACUCUCAGCCCUUCCCACAAAGGUUCCAGCCUUCAUCCACAGGGACUCCAAAACAUGCAUCUGUCAGGUGAGUUACAGGACCAGAACCUUGGGAGAGGACAUGCCGAGCAAGCUACUGAGAAAACUGAAAUAAAAUGAAUUC
Long non-coding RNA from Manis pentadactyla (Chinese pangolin), 353 nucleotides. RefSeq lists it as uncharacterized. The transcript has 3 exons. The record is from RefSeq and is a predicted model, not a curated record. Lineage: Eukaryota; Metazoa; Chordata; Mammalia; Pholidota; Manidae.